GAUGAACGCUGGCGGCGUGCCUAAUACAUGCAAGUCGAGCGAACAGACGAGGAGCUUGCUCCUCUGACGUUAGCGGCGGACGGGUGAGUAACACGUGGAUAACCUACCUAUAAGACUGGGAUAACUUCGGGAAACCGGAGCUAAUACCGGAUAAUAUAUUGAACCGCAUGGUUCAAUAGUGAAAGACGGUUUUGCUGUCACUUAUAGAUGGAUCCGCGCCGCAUUAGCUAGUUGGUAAGGUAACGGCUUACCAAGGCAACGAUGCGUAGCCGACCUGAGAGGGUGGUCGGCCACACUGGAACUGAGACAGGGUCCAGACUCCUACGGGAGGCAGCAGUAGGGAAUCUUCCGCAAUGGGCGAAAGCCUGACGGUGCAACGCCGCGUGAGUGAUGAAGGUCUUCGGAUCGUAAAACUCUGUUAUUAGGGAAGAACAAAUGUGUAAGUAACUAUGCACGUCUUGACGGUACCUAAUCAGAAAGCCACGGCUAACUACGUG
Molecule: ribosomal RNA, 497 nt
Filed under: uncultured bacterium
Lineage: Bacteria
Description: partial 16S ribosomal RNA
Rfam family: Bacterial small subunit ribosomal RNA
Source: RNAcentral